CUGCUUCCAUUGGGCCAGCUGAGGGAUGGAAAUUGAGCUUUUUCCUGUGGCCCCAUUACCACCACUGGGUGGCAGAACGAGAGCUGUUUAUUAUGCUAUGUCCAGGAAUUUUUAGUUGUAGGCACAUAGUAGGUGAUCAGUAAAUGCUGGUUGAUCUGCAAUCUAAGUCUUGGUCAAUUAGACCAAUCUACACAUUGUUGAAGGGUUGGAAC
Molecule: long non-coding RNA, 212 nt
Filed under: Pan troglodytes (chimpanzee)
Lineage: Eukaryota; Metazoa; Chordata; Mammalia; Primates; Hominidae
Description: long non-coding RNA NONPTRT011428
Source: RNAcentral